Molecule: long non-coding RNA, 2203 nt
Organism: Anas platyrhynchos (mallard)
Lineage: Eukaryota; Metazoa; Chordata; Aves; Anseriformes; Anatidae
Source: RefSeq, a predicted model, not a curated record
UUGUUUUGCAUUCAUUAAAAUUCCCAUCAUGACACAAAAUGCUGAACAUUUACUAUAACAAAAACAAAAGCAAACAAAAAAAUUGGACACAUUUAUUGCAAAUUUCAGUCAAAAAAGAUAUAAAUAAGGAAAUCACAUAGCACAGGCACAUUGUCCCGGUCCUACUCUACUUUAGUUCAUUAAUUAAUGUUUUUAGAAAAGAUAUUUACAGUGAGACCUCAGGCAGAUACUCUGAGAGCUUGUGGCAUAAUCCUUCUCUGUCCUCCCCUCUUCCCCUUCCCCCACCUGCAAAAGAGACUGCUUACUCAUUUUUCUUUUUCUUUAAAGCCAGGAAGGACUUGGAAAAAUCAAUCCUCAUGGCUUAGAUUUAUAUAAACUAUUUCAUAAAUCUCAUUCUCAAACAUACUUCUUAUAGAGGUAAAACUGACAUUUGUUUACUGAUUUUUUAUUAGAAAAAAUAUAUUUUUCUUUCCUCUUUCUUAUGAAAGUGGUUUAGAUAAACAGAAGAUCCUAGCAAAGAAGCUAUGUAUCCAGUUCAUCACCAUUAAAAACAACCUGUGCUUUUUUUUAAAGACUUUCUCUACAAUCAAAAUUAUCAGCCCCCUCAUUUAACAAUGUAUGCAGUUCAUGCAGAACAGAUUCUUGUGAAUCAAGGUACAGAUCUGAACGUGCUAUGGCCCAGGUCCUGUAAACAAAACUAGUUAUUUCCAGCAAAAUCUUGGCAAUGGAAUAACAGGUAUUUCCCCAUUCAGAGCCUAAUUCUGCAAGACAGUUUCCAAAACCUGGAAUGAAGAUUACUGUCCAAGACAGGAUACUUGUGCAGAGGAUGUUCAGCUGCUUAACAAGUAUGAACAGAAGCCCGCCCAAUUUUGGAUAACUCUAUGAGAAACAACUAAUUUCUGAUAAGGCCCAGAGGCAAAAUCUAGAGUUAAUGAAAUAUGUAUGAUACUUGGUGUGAAAACACUGAGUUCCUAAAUCUAAGAAAGGUGAAGAGCAGAACUGACCCUCAAAUGUAUCCUUCCAUUUUCACUUUCAAUAUGGGUACAGGCCUGUAUGGAAAUUAUUUGAGAUAUCAUAGAACAUACAUCAUGAUUUAUAAGAAUUACUCUUAAAGAUAUAAUUUCAUUUUAAAAGCAGCAGUGAUGAACACUUGAUUUUUUUUUCAGUAAUUAAGGCUCCAAACUACUUCAGCAUGCUUCUACUUUGUGCAAGGAUUAAUUUUGACUUUUCAAAAGAACACAAAUGAAAGAUGCAGAUGUAAGUGUAUUUGCAAAAGGUGCAAAGAUGUCUAGAAUACACUUUGUUUUUGUUUGUUUGCUUGUUUGUUUCCUUUCUUUCUAUUUGUCUCUCAGGUAUGCUAAUAUCCGUUUGCUCAAUGCUGGUUGCAAAAUGAAGUUUUAACAGAUAUGUGUGAAUAGUUCUAUCAGAACAAUUCUGAAAGGAGAUCCUCCUCAUACAACAGAAAACUACAAUAAGAGCUCUGGUCCUAUUAUAAAGCUUCCAAAACCAGUGGAAAAAGAGCUGUGUUCCGUUAUUCCCAGUGCACACCUGGGAAUUUACUGCUCUCUUAUGUGGCUCUCACCAUCUCUUUCUGCUGCAGGCUAGCCCUGUAGCACAGCUCUUUCGUCUCUCCUACCUUUGUCUAAAAUUAAACUGAUUUGCAGGUUUAAGGCCAAGCCGUUUUGAAGCUUUGGCAAGUGAAAAGAGAGAAAAUACUCAUGUGAGAUCACUUCAGUUCAAACCCUCACAUUGACAGAGAUGCUUUGCUUCAUUUGACUCAAACUGGCCAGAUCAUUGAUCAUUUUUAUUCUGGCAUAUCACCUGUGGCAUCUCAGAAGGAUUUGCUUAGGUUUGAUGAUGUUACCACAGGUCAUAAUUUAGUUUAUAAAAAAACCUUGGAAUAGAAUUAAAAGUAUUGAGUAGCUAUUCUGUUUCCCAUACAUAGCUACGGAGAUGAGUUAUUCUCCAAAAUACAGCUUUGAAUCUGAAAGCAAAGUUUGUCAUAAAGAAAAUAACUGAUGAUAAAUUCAUCAUUACUGUCUGAGUCACUGGCAUUGACCAUAUUUCCUCUGUGCAGUGAAUUAUGAAAAAGAGAGCUAGAAUCAUAGCUAAAGGUGAGAGUGAUAUAUAUAGAGAAAACUACAGCUCUUUGUAAUGAGAAAAAAUAAAAAAUAAAAAAAAUUGGGAGUCCUUACUAGUGUAA